RNAcentral lists this ribosomal RNA (487 nucleotides) under uncultured bacterium. RNAcentral describes it as "bacterial SSU rRNA". It matches the Rfam family "Bacterial small subunit ribosomal RNA", at positions 32 to 507 of the family's 1533-position model. The record is from RNAcentral.
GAACAACGCUGGCGGCGUGUCUUAAGCAUGCAAGUCGAGCGGCAAGGGCAGCAAUGCCCCUAGAGCGGCGGACUGGUGAGUAACGCGUGGGUGAUCUACCUAGGGCAUGGGGAUAGCCAUUAGAAAUAGUGGGUAAUACCGAAUACGUUCGCAUGGAUGCGUCCAUGCGAGGAAAGGUGCUACGGCACCGGCCUAUGAUGAGCUUGCGUCUGAUUAGCUAGUUGGUGAGGUAAAGGCCCACCAAGGCGAUGAUCGGUAGCCGGCCUGAGAGGGUGUACGGCCACACUGGGACUGAGAUACGGCUCAGACUCCUACGGGAGGCAGCAGCUAAGAAUAUUCCGCAAUGGACGAAAGUCUGACGGAGCGACGCCGCGUGGAUGAUGAAGGCCGAAAGGUUGUAAAGUCCUUUUGCUGGGGAAGAAUAAGCGUGGGAGGGAAUGCCCGCGUGAUGACAUGAACCGGCGAAUAAGCCCCGGCUAACUACGUG